GACGAACGCUGGCGGCGUGCUUAACACAUGCAAGUCGAACGGAAAGGCCCUGCUUUUGUGGGGUGCUCGAGUGGCGAACGGGUGAGUAACACGUGAGUAACCUGCCCUUGACUUUGGGAUAACUUCAGGAAACUGGGGCUAAUACCGGAUAGGAGCUCCUGCUGCAUGGUGGGGGUUGGAAAGUUUCGGCGGUUGGGGAUGGACUCGCGGCUUAUCAGCUUGUUGGUGGGGUAGUGGCUUACCAAGGCUUUGACGGGUAGCCGGCCUGAGUGGGUGACCGGCCACAUUGGGACUGAGAUACGGCCCAGACUCCUACGGGAGGCAGCAGUGGGGAAUAUUGCACAAUGGGCGGAAGCCUGAUGAAGCAACGCCGCGUGCGGGAUGACGGCCUUCGGGUUGUAACCCGCUUUCGCCUGUGACGAAGCGUGAGUGACGGUAAUGGGUAAAGAAGCACCGGCUAACUACGUG
This 468-nucleotide ribosomal RNA is filed under the name uncultured bacterium. Its description in RNAcentral is "partial 16S ribosomal RNA". It matches the Rfam family "Bacterial small subunit ribosomal RNA", at positions 28 to 507 of the family's 1533-position model. The record is from RNAcentral.